GGACUGGCGGCUGCUUACCAUGCAAGUCGAACGGAAAGGCCCUUCGGGGUACUCGAGUGGCGAACGGGUGAGUAACACGUGGGUGAUCUGCCCUGCACUCUGGGAUAAGCCUGGGAAACUGGGUCUAAUACCGGAUAGGACCACACACUUCAUGGUGAGUGGUGCAAAGCUUUUGCGGUGUGGGAUGAGCCCGCGGCCUAUCAGCUUGUUGGUGGGGUAAUGGCCCACCAAGGCGACGACGGGUAGCCGGCCUGAGAGGGUGACCGGCCACACUGGGACUGAGAUACGGCCCAGACUCCUACGGGAGGCAGCAGUGGGGAAUAUUGCACAAUGGGCGCAAGCCUGAUGCAGCGACGCCGCGUGAGGGAUGACGGCCUUCGGGUUGUAAACCUCUUUCAGUAGGGACGAAGCGAAAGUGACGGUACCUACAGAAGAAGGACCGGCCAACUACGUGCCAGCAGCCGCGGUAAUACGUAGGGUCCGAGCGUUGUCCGGAAUUACUGGGCGUAAAGAGCUCGUAGGUGGUUUGUCGCGUUGUUCGUGAAAACUCACAGCUUAACUGUGGGCGUGCGGGCGAUACGGGCAGACUAGAGUACUGCAGGGGAGACUGGAAUUCCUGGUGUAGCGGUGGAAUGCGCAGAUAUCAGGAGGAACACCGGUGGCGAAGGCGGGUCUCUGGGCAGUAACUGACGCUGAGGAGCGAAAGCGUGGGUAGCGAACAGGAUUAGAUACCCUGGUAGUCCACGCCGUAAACGGUGGGUACUAGGUGUGGGUUUCCUUCCUUGGGAUCCGUGCCGUAGCUAACGCAUUAAGUACCCCGCCUGGGGAGUACGGUCGCAAGACUAAAACUCAAAGGAAUUGACGGGGGCCCGCACAAGCGGCGGAGCAUGUGGAUUAAUUCGAUGCAACGCGAAGAACCUUACCUGGGUUUGACAUGCACAGGACGUACCUAGAGAUAGGUAUUCCCUUGUGGCCUGUGUGCAGGUGGUGCAUGGCUGUCGUCAGCUCGUGUCGUGAGAUGUUGGGUUAAGUCCCGCAACGAGCGCAACCCUUGUCCUAUGUUGCCAGCGGGUAAUGCCGGGGACUCGUAGGAGACUGCCGGGGUCAACUCGGAGGAAGGUGGGGAUGACGUCAAGUCAUCAUGCCCCUUAUGUCCAGGGCUUCACACAUGCUACAAUGGCCAGUACAGAGGGCUGCGAAGCCGCAAGGUGGAGCGAAUCCCUUAAAGCUGGUCUCAGUUCGGAUUGGGGUCUGCAACUCGACCCCAUGAAGUCGGAGUCGCUAGUAAUCGCAGAUCAGCAACGCUGCGGUGAAUACGUUCCCGGGCCUUGUACACACCGCCCGUCACGUCAUGAAAGUCGGUAACACCCGAAGCCAGUGGCCUAACCUUUUGGAGGGAGCGUCGAAGAGAUCGCGAU
RNAcentral lists this ribosomal RNA (1418 nucleotides) under Mycobacteroides saopaulense. RNAcentral's name for it is "bacterial SSU rRNA". It matches the Rfam family "Bacterial small subunit ribosomal RNA". The record is from RNAcentral. Lineage: Bacteria; Bacillati; Actinomycetota; Actinomycetes; Mycobacteriales; Mycobacteriaceae.